Molecule: ribosomal RNA, 253 nt
Filed under: uncultured bacterium
Lineage: Bacteria
Description: partial 16S ribosomal RNA
Rfam family: Bacterial small subunit ribosomal RNA
Source: RNAcentral
GAUCCUGGCUCAGGAUGAACGCUAGCGACAGGCUUAACACAUGCAAGUCGAGGGGCAGCACGGUGUAGCAAUACACUGGUGGCGACCGGCGCACGGGUGAGUAACACGUGUGCAACCAACCCCGUACCGGGAGAUAACCCGCGGAAACGUGGACUAACAUCCCAUAAUACUGGAGGAUCGCAUGAUCUUUCAUUUAAAAUUCCGGUGGUACGGGACGGGCACGCGCGACAUUAGGUAGUUGGCGGGGUAAGGG